Molecule: ribosomal RNA, 442 nt
Filed under: uncultured bacterium
Lineage: Bacteria
Description: bacterial SSU rRNA
Rfam family: Bacterial small subunit ribosomal RNA
Source: RNAcentral
AUUGAACGCUGGCGGCAUGGCUAAAACAUGCAAGUCGAGGGCGAAUCCACUUCGGUGGAGGAGACCGGCGGAAGGGCUAGUAAUAGUAUCGAACGUACCCCAAGGUGGGGGAUAGCCGCGGGAAACUGCGGGUAAUACCCCAUGUGCUCUACGGAGGAAAGCUCCGGCGCCUCGGGUGCGGCGAUACUCCUAUCAGGUAGUUGGCGGGGUAAGAGCCCACCAAGCCGAAGACGGGUAGCGGGUGUGAGAGCAUGGCCCGCAGCAUCGAGACUGAGACACUGCUCGGACUCCUACGGGAGGCUGCAGUAACGAAUCUUCCGCAAUGCGCGAAAGCGUGACGGAGCAAUGCCGCGUGUGGGAUGAAGCGGUUUUUCCGUGUAAACCACUGUCAGGGUCCAGGAAACAAUGACCAGACCCAAAGGAAGGGGCGGCUAACCUCGUA